Molecule: non-coding RNA, 110 nt
Filed under: Phaeobacter sp. CECT 5382
Lineage: Bacteria; Pseudomonadati; Pseudomonadota; Alphaproteobacteria; Rhodobacterales; Roseobacteraceae
Also listed under: 1 other name
Description: Glycine riboswitch aptamer
Rfam family: Glycine riboswitch aptamer
About the family: This family represents the bacterial glycine riboswitch. Glycine riboswitches usually consist of two metabolite-binding aptamers domains with similar structures in tandem.
Source: Rfam by way of RNAcentral
UGCGUGCACAGGGGAGAACCGACGCCACGCAGCCGCCGCGCUGCUUGAGCACGGUGCCGAAGGAGCAACCGCCCCGGAAACUCUCAGGCAAAAGGGACCUUGUGCACGGC